This is a long non-coding RNA of Cyanistes caeruleus (blue tit), 2450 nucleotides long. RefSeq lists it as uncharacterized. The record is from RefSeq and is a predicted model, not a curated record. Lineage: Eukaryota; Metazoa; Chordata; Aves; Passeriformes; Paridae.
GAAUUCACAGAGGAAACAGAAGAACAAGCACAUUAAAAACAGAUGAAGAGCAAAAGUUAUCAGUAUCACUAUUUACUGGUGCCAAGAUCAUGUGAUAAAAAGCUUGUCUGAAUAUGCACAAAGGAGCACGCAGAGAAAAUGAGUGGUGGGGAAAAUCCAUGUAACUGUCUCAGCUCCUCCUAGACCCAUCCCAUGAGCCACCAGACCAUCAAAGCCCAGAGAAGCAAAGAGCCCAGAGGCAGAUACUCCUUUGUGAACUCCAACCCUCUUCUCCAUACAUAGAAGACAGGAAUAGCACACCCUCGCUGAUGUGUUAAAGUCCACUGGAAAUUAACUCCAGGUCUGGAUAGACCAUUAUGGUCAUGCCAUGAAAAAAAAACAUACUCCUUCUUAGGCUCCUACUAAAUACCUUACGUUUACUACUCUUUGAGGUAAAAAGGUAACCUUCCUUUGAAUUUUUUUAGAUUCUCUUGAACAUAUUUGGGUUUUUUUGAGUGGGAGAAAAGUGGACUGCAAUGCUAUGAAUUGGCUCCCAAUAAGUCCUGUCUCCUGAGAAUCAUAGAAUGGCUUGGGUUGUAAGAAUUCUUAAAGAGCAUCUAGUUCCAACCCCCUUGCAAUGGACACGGACACUUUUAACUAAAUCAAGUUGUUCAGAGACCCAUCCAGUCUGGCCUUUAAGACUCCAAUGGGUAGGACAUCAAGACCUUGUCUGGAGAAAAUGUUAUAGUGCCUCCCCAACCUCACUGUAAAACAUUUAUUUCUAAAAGCUAAUCUAAACCUACUCUGUUUCAGAUUGAAACCAUUCUCCCUUGUGCUAUCACUACACACCCUUGUAAAAAGUCUCCCUCUUUCUUUUAGGCUCCCUUCAGGUACUGGAAAGCCACAAUUAAAAGCCUUCUUUUCUCUAGGCUUCAAAAUCCCAAUUCUUUUAUACUUUGUUCAUUGGACAGGUGCUCCAUCCCUCUAAUCAACUUGGUAGCCCUCCUCUAUACUUGCUCCAAAAGGUCCAUGUCCCUUCUUGGUUCUCCAGAGCUGGAUGCAGCACAGCAGGUGGGGUCUCACCAGAGCAGAGGGGCAGGAUAACCUUCCUUAUCCUGCUGACCACAUUACUUUUGAUUAAGCCCAGGAUACAAUUGGCUUUCUGGCUGUAAGUGGACAUUGCUGGCUCGUGUCAAGCCUCUCCUGCACCAGAACACCCACGUCCUUCUCAGCAGGUCUGCUUUCAAUCUCUUCAUCCCCCAAGAUCUAUUGAUGUCAAAGGUUUUCCCCAACCCAGCUGUGGCAUCUUGCACUUGGUCAUGUUAACCCUCAUGACAUUUCCAUGAGUCAACUUCUUUGGUUUGUCCAGGUCCUUCUGGAUGACAUCCCAGCUAUCAGCUGUGUCAACCACACCACUCCAGCUUGGUGUCUUCUGCAAACUUGAUUAGGAUACACUCUAUCCCUUAUUCUAUGUCAUUAAUGAAGAUAUUAAACAGCAUUGGUCCCAAUAAGAACCCCUGAAGGACACCAUCACUGUUACUGGUGUCCAUCAGUUCUGUGAGCCAUUGACCACUACCGUCUGGAUAUCAAUUCCUUACCCACCUAACAGUCCACCCAUUGAAUCCAUCUCUUUACAAUUUAAAGAGCAGGAUAUUGCUGGGGACCCCGAGAAGUUUUGGAUGUGCUCAUCUUGGAGAGUUCCAGGCCAGAUCCAGGUUCUGGAUCCUGUUAGCUCUGGACCUAAUCUAGUGGAAGGUGUCCUUGCCUGUGGGAGUUAAAACUAGAUGAUUUUAAGGGUUUCAACCAUAUCAAAAGCUUUACAAAAGUUCAGAUACAUGAUAUCUAUACCCCUGUCCUUAGGAUGCUAUUCAGAAACUGGAGGAAGACAAAAUUCUAGUUGGAGACUUGCAAAAAUGUGUCAUAAACCCAGAUCCAAACUUACUAAAUUGAGAGAUAUACAGAAUUUACAGGCUUGUGUCCAGGAGAGAAAUCUAGAAAGCCAUUUUUUGAAGGACCUUAAAAACCUAAAAAUUUACAGAUCUGAUUUGCUUAAUAGUCUCCCUGAUUACUGAAGCUAUAGAUUAUGUCUACAAAAGUAUAUCAUUUAGAAACCAUAAAUUGACAUAACUCUUGCUAUAGUACUGUUCUCCUGUAUCAUUGAUGAACUGUACUCAAGGAUCCCAAACCAGGUCAAAACCAUUGAGUUGCAUAAAAAAUGGAGGAGACCUAGCUAUUUUCAUUAUAGUAAGCUAAGGAUUAUUGAGCUACUUAGGAGAGUGACGAUUCAUAACAUUUUAUCCCAUUUUACCAGUCUUUAAAGAACUAGAAAGAAGGUCAGUCCAAGUUUCUUCAAUUUUUCUUAAAUUCUUUUCAAUUUCUUAAUUUUUCUUAAAAUCAACAAGUUAAAUUUUGUGAUGUUAUCUUCCUAUGUCUCUUAAGGGCACAUGACCUUUAUAAACAGUUUGAAAAAA